Molecule: non-coding RNA, 6461 nt
Organism: Pelobates cultripes (western spadefoot toad)
Lineage: Eukaryota; Metazoa; Chordata; Amphibia; Anura; Pelobatidae
Source: the annotation of a GenBank genome assembly
CAUCCAACUAAGAAACCAGAAUGUUGUCUGUCUGAAACCAGAGACCCAUUGGUUUAAUGUUUUCUUGGUUGUCAUUGGAAAAAGGUAGGACAUCUUGUAUUAAAUUAUGUUUUGUUUCAUUAUCUUUAUCUUGGCAUAGCAUGCUAUUCUGUUGCACAAUAAGACGCACUUUGGGUGCUAGGUACUAAACUUUCCUCCAAACCUCUUGGUAUCUCCUACACAGGUGAAAGAUAAGAGCUCAGUGCUACAACGUAUAAUAAAGUACUGGACCCAGGGGUGUAACUAGAAAUGUCAGGGCCCCAGUGCAAGAAUCAGUGAAAGUCACAGCGCUCACCUUGUGUGAGUGAUUGGUCGUGUGUGACUGUGUGUGGUGUUAGCAGAGUGUGAUUGGCAACUGGGUGAAUGUAAUUAUGUGUGGAGUUGGCUAAAUGUGAUAGUGUGUGUGGAUGUGUGUCUGUGUUUAUUAUCAAAUCCCUCUCUUUUAUACAGAUAGGGAAGUUUAGUUCCUGGUAGUCCAGUGGUUACUGAAUUAAUCCCUGGUAGUCCUGGGAAGAUGCUGCUGGUAGGCUCUCUGCUGGUCUAGUGGGUGCAGACCACAGCCCUUGCUCCUUACCAUCAAUGGGCAUCCAAUGAGUUAGAACAUUGCCAUGGGAAUUCUGUUGUAGCGCUUUGACUCAUUGUAUAAGAGCUGGGACUGCAAGGGAGUGCUUAGCAAGAAUUCCCUUGCAAUCUUUAAAACGACAAUAUAUUACAUAAAAACCUUGCAAGGGUAGGACAUGACCAGCCUGGAACCCAUCACUAUAGCGAACAUUGCAACCAUAGUAGUUUCUUACUGGGCCCAAAGAAUGUUUAUUUAUCUCCAUGUCUAGUCUCCCAACCUCCAAAAUAAAAAAUAAAUAAAAAUCACUAUUUAGUAGAUAUAUACGCUACAUGAAAACUUGUAUGCAUUUGAUUACGCUAUUUUACAUUGCUGGUAUAUAUAAAAACAGCUUGCAAAAAAUGCAGAUCUCUUGCCUGCUGCCUUUGCAAACUCUCCCCUUUUAACCUCGCCUAGACUUUCUGUGGCUGUCCAAUCACAGACUUCUCAAUGCAGCUCAUUGAAAAGUCUUUGCAAUGCAGGUGCUCUGAGCAAUUUCUGCCUCAUGAGUUUAUCUCCACUGACCUAACAAAACAAGGAAGUAACUUGAUCAUUUGUCUUGAAAGCAAAGGGGGUCUAACAAGGUUAUUUUUUUUAAAGUGUCGAUUUCUACUGAAAUCUGUACUUUUUGCAAAAAAAAAAAAAAAAAAAGGACACAAUCACAAAUUAAGCUUUAGAGCAAACUAAAGCACAUUAGGUUUGGAGUGUCCCUUAAGAGGUGUAGCUUUGGUAGUCUUUUCUCACAAGCACGAUUGUUCCCGCAACCUCCCUUCCUGUGGAGCACUAUAAAGUUCUGUGAUAUUCUAUUAUGAUAUUAUAACCCCAAUAAAAAAGGCACCUGGGCAUACCUAAUUAAUUUACAUUUGCAUGUUACACUGACACACCAGGCUGGAGUUUGUCCUAAUUAUAAAGUUAAUUCAUUAAAAAAAAGUUCAGCAAAACAUAAAAGGAGGAUUUGGCACUUCUAAAGUUAGUUCUGCUCACCCUAGGAAGAAACGUUCAGUCAAUCCCAUUAUUUUCAAUGUUUAUUUAUGGAGGUUGGGCAACAGCAUGCACUUUCAACCAUGAAUUGUAUUGAUCGUUUUUUGACUUUUUUCUGGUAAAUUCACAAACAUUUUUUUAUUGAUAUUAUUUCAUUCAACCUAAUUUCCAGUUACUAUUCACACAUCUGGAGUGUUUCUUCAGAUAUGUGAAUUUAUUAUUUUUUCUUCGAUAUUCUAGUAAUAGGGGUUAAGCCCCAUAUGACACUGCUGGAGUGUCAAUAAAGGUGUUUAGUCUAUGGAACGGGUAGAUUUGCCCUAUCCAUAGAUAUAUUUUGUUCUUUUGAAACACUUUCAACCAUGUCCUGAAUAUCACAGGGCCCCAAGGCUAUGUGUUUCUACCACCCGUUUGCUUAAUGGUCCGGUAUGAAGGAUCAAUGAGAUUUGUCUCAUACUACGCUUUCACUAUUGAAGUGCAUGGGGACAUGUUGUAUCAAGUGGAGAAUUGCAAGGGAGUAGGAAUGAGGUUUUAAUACUCUUAAAAUAUUUUUUGGGGUAUUCUUGUAAUUCUAUAUAUUCUAUACAUAUACUGAAAGAAAAAUGAAAACAUAUGGGUAGGUCUGGUGGACAAAACCAGCGUCUGAAGUACUGUCAGUGGAGACAGAGAGGCUGUAUAAGCACUCACAAGCAGGGGGUCCCUUUGGGUGCCACAGUCCUUUUGCAACAUGGUUGAGCCCCUGUCAGAUUACCAGUUCAGACGCCACAUUAGGAAGAAGGCAAAUUGCUUUUUCCCAGCUUAUAAAACGCCACACAGGAAAGGAGAGGAGGAGAAGGCAAACAAAAAAAUCUUUUUUCAGCCCCAAAAAAGGCCAAAUAAAUAUCCAUGAAACCCCCAAAAAAAAAUCCAUCUUCACUCAUCGAGGGCUCUGCGUAGACUGAGCUCUUCAGGGCGGGGGAAGGCUUAUAAAGCCUUGCCCCGCCCUGCAAUUAGGCUCAGAGCACUCUGGUUGGUUGGUUGGUUUAAGCCAUCCAAUCAGAGUGCUCUGACUGGUAAAUGAAGAGACUGACAGGUAAGUCUCUACAUUUACCUGUCACAGCACUCUGAUUGGUUAGCUUGAAAUCCAUCCAAUCAGAGUGCUCUGUGUCAUUUUACACAGCGUGGGAAAGUUCUUUGGAAUUUUCCCACGCUGUGUAAUUUGACUCAUAACAACACUCUGAUUAGUGGAUUGAAAGUAACCAGAGAGUUCUGAGUCAAAUUACACAGCGUGGGAAAAUUCCAAAGAACUUUCCCAUGCUGUAUAAAAUGACACAGAGCACUCUGAUUGGCUGGAUUUCAAGCUAACCAGAGUGCUGUGACAGUUAAAUGUAGAGACUUACCUGUCAGUCUAUUCAUUUACCUGUCAGAGCACUCUGAGUCUAAUUGCAGGGUGGGGCAAGGCUUUAUAAGCCUUGCCCCACCCAGCAGAGCUCAGUCUGCGAGGAGCCCUCCAUGGGUGAAGAUGGAUUUUUCUUUUUGCGCUCGGGUUGUUUUUUGUUUUUGUUUUUUGUUCAAAGUGCAUCAGUUAUUAUAGAUUUUUAUUUGGCCUUUUUUGGGGCUGAAAAAAGAAGAUUUUAGAAGAAAGAAGACAUCAAAUGGUAAGUUUUUUUUUUUGUUUUUUUUUACAGGUACCUAGUUUAUGGUCCCCCAUCAUUAUUUUUAGGGUGAGGGGGGUAGGUAGGAGUUAUUUUUUUGGGGAGGGGGUGACUAUUUAGGGCCCCCAUCCGCCGCUUAGGGGUGGGGGUCAGGGGGUAGAACAAUAGGUCCACCCCCCUCUUAUUCUAAUUUAGGGCUCCCACCCACCGCUCAGGGGUAGGAGCCAGGAAAACUUAGGGCCCCCACCCACUGCUCAGGGGUGGGGGCCAGGGGAGGACAAUAGGUCCCCCCCCUUAUUCUAACUUAGGGCCCCCACCCGCCGCUCAGGGGUGGGGACCAGGGGAGAGGACAAUAGGUCCCCCCCCAUUAGUUUACUUUAGGGGGGAAUGUUUUUUUGUUUGUUUUUAGCAGUGAGCAGCCACAGGCUGUUUAAUAGACAUGCCCCUACUCACUAAUACGAAGUAAUUUUUACUUAGUAUUAGUAAAUGUGGCUGAAAGACCAAUUUAAGACUUUCGGCCUUUUGGUAGAUAACUCCCUAAUACUGUGGGAAUUAGGGAGUUAUCUACUAAGCAGCUGCAAGAUAAGUCCCGAAGUGCCAAAAUCCUUAAAUUCCGAAGUGCCGAACCGAACCACCGAAGUUCCGAAUUUCGGAAUGCCGAGCCGAACCAAAAAUUGUCCCCAUGCACAUCCCUAUGAGGAAGGACUUAUUGCUGAAGGCACCUUACGCGAUGUAAGAUUUUUAAAAAAAAAUUUUUAUGUGUGUUAUAUGAAUAAAUUGGAUCUCUUUUUAACCUGGAGCCUUCUCUUAUUCCUAUAUUGUGGAGAAUAUUUCUGCAAGCCUUCAUCCAAAAUCAAGUUUACUCCUUUCAUGCUGAUUUACCUGAGCCAGUGUAUUACAGGCUCAGUAAAAUGUGAGUUGGAUGUAUAUAAGUACCUGCACUUGCACUCUAUAUCUGGCAGUACAGACUGUACUGCCAUAUAUUAUCUCUUCCAGCUACCCCCGAGAGGAAGCUAUAUAGGGUAUUUAUGCUGUAUUUCUACUCACCAUAUCACUGUACAUGUUUUUUGUGAUUUAUCACUGUGUGCCACCCACUAUAUGUAUUUAUUAGCACUCUAUUUUAUAUACAUAUAAUUUAUACAGUGAACAUAUUGUCUAGUUUCUUAAUAAUAUAAAGUGUAAGAACAUUGUAUGAUUUAAACAGAGAACAAUUAGUGAACACAAAGGGUAGUUGAGGCAGUGGAGAAAGACUAACUGGUUAGUUCUAAUAGUUUUAUAUAGAAGUGUUUUUUUGUACAGAUUUUAGAAGAACAGGGGAAGUUAUUUUGGGCAGGAAAAGAAAUUCCAUAAUGCCACUGGUGCUCUAGACAAGUCAUGUAGGCAAAAGGUGGAGGUGCAAAUAGAAACAGAGGACACGCAUAGAUUGUUGGAAGAGUAGAAAGGUCCUAAUGGAACAGGUCUUCUUAAAGUUGCUGUCACCUUAUAGGGUAUUUGCAUAUUUUGGUUAUGGUUCCAAAAUUGUCACCUUAAUUGGUGACACAAUCUGGGAGAAAAAUAAGGAUCACAGAAGACCAAACUGAUUAAAUCCAUCAUAAAAGUGGUACUGGGAUUCAAAGGAACUUAUCAGAUCACCCAGAGAGACAGUACAGAUCAAAAUGAGGACCAGAACAGAGUUGGUGAUUGCUUAUGGAUCAUAGCAUUUUAAAGAUAGACUUGCUGGAGCCAAAGACUGAUCAGUAAUCAGAAAAGUAUGAAGAAAGUCAUAAAAGAGGAGUCAUGUAGACCAUGCUUAAGAAAGUCAUAAAAUGAAAACUGGUGAUAAAUAGUUUAAUACAUCACCUAUGAGCACAAGGCCUAGUAACAUGGAAUCGCUGUUAUGCACAGAUUAACAUUUUGCAUUUCUCCACCCAUGUUGGUAAUCCAUUUUCUAUGUAAUAUUUUACCACGCUGGUUAUUAUAAACUGAUCUCCAGCACUGAAAUAGUGAGCUAUUAGCACCAAACCAAAUGUUGCAGACAUUUGGUUUGGUGCCAAUAGAUCACUAUACACUCAUCAGCCACAACAUUAAAAUUCAACUGCCUAAUAUCAUGUAGAUAUCCCUUGUGCUGCCAACUCCGCUCUGAUGCAUUGAGGCAUGGACUCCACAAGACCUCUGAAUGUGUCACAGAUGCUCAAUUGGACUAAGAUUAGGGGAAUUUGAAGACCAAGACAACACCAUCAACUCUUUGUCAUGUUCCUCAAACUAUUACUGAAACACUGUCUCCAGUGUAUUUCUUCCUCUCUCUCACUCUUCCUCCAUUGUCCAGUUCUGAUGCUUACAUCCCCAUUGAAAGUGCUCUUGGUGAUGGACAGAGGUCACGAUGGGCACUUUGAUCAGUCAGCGGUUACAUAGCCCCAUACGCAGCAAGCUACAAAGCAGUGUGUGUACGGACACCUUUCUAUCAUGGCCAGCAUUACAUUUUUGAUCAAUUUCAGCUACAGUAGCUCUUCUGUGUGAUUGGACUAUAUGGGAUAGCAGUUGCUCCCCACAUGCAUCAAUGAGCCCUGGUGUCCAUGACCCAAUGCUUGCUGUUUUCAAGAUGCUCUGACCCAGUCAUCUAGCCAUCACUAUUUGGCCUUUGUCAAAAUCACUCAGGUCUUUUUGCUUGUCCAAUUUUCCUGCUUCCAGCACAUGAAAUUCAAGAACUGACUAUUCACUUGCUGCCUAAUAUAGCCCAACCCCUUGAUAGGUGCCAUUUUAAUGAUAUGAUCAGUGUUAUUCACCUGGCAGUGGUUUUAAUGUUGGGGCUGAUCUGAAUAUGACACUUAUACCUGUGACUCAUUUUAGAAGACAAGUGAAUGCCAUACACCAUUCUACACAAUUGUAUGAUAAAUGUUGCCAUGUUGUUUCCAUGCAGACGUGAACAGACGAAUGGAAAUGACUCCAAUGGACCAAGAAAUUUAUUUUAGGCGUGGAAUCCAGAACAUUUUCUUGAUCGAUGGGCUGUAAGCGGUUCCUUCCUUACCUUUCCACUCAAAUUAAAUCACUUCUACCAAUAUUUACUGUAGACUAAGACUACUUAAAAUCAUGCUUCAGUUUUUCAGUAUUUAAUCUGAGAAUUUUUUUCUUUAAUGUUCGUGCUGUGUAAGCCAUGAUAGCGCACAUAUUUGUAUAUUAUACCAAGGCCAUAAGAAUUGCUCACUUUUAAUUAUAAAAACAUAUGAAAAGGAAUU